This 285-nucleotide long non-coding RNA is filed under the name Phoenix dactylifera (date palm). RNAcentral describes it as "long non-coding RNA (PDAC_LNC014622)". The record is from RNAcentral. Lineage: Eukaryota; Viridiplantae; Streptophyta; Magnoliopsida; Arecales; Arecaceae.
UUUUGAAGAGCCCGCCUGGAAGGGGAAACGCCGCUCGCCAGCUGUUUGCUCUGAGUGCUCUACAAAUAGCGCGGCGUCAAAAACUGGGUCUCCCCCCAAUUUCCACCAGCGGACGAGGCGAGCGUUCAACUCCGAGGUAGGAGCCUUCUCUCAUCUGUUUCUCUCCCCCCUUUCAUUUCUUCUCUCUUUCUCUUUCGUCUCCGGCUUUUUGGUUCAAUCCAUCUUCCAUCCAUUGUUUAAUUAUGCUCAAAUGCUUGUUUUAUCUAUUUUGGAUCAAGAAAUUAG